ACUCGCCUGCUAAUCCCGCCGGGCCCGGUCCGCAGCCUCAGCGCGGGGAGAGAGGGGACGCGGCGCUGCGGCCGCCGGGGAGGUGUCCCGCCUCCAGUCGCCGGAGGGGGGAGUGUCCCGCCUCCCGCCGCCGUCGCCGCCGUCUGUCUCCAGCCGUGACUGCGCGCCGCGGCUGUGUCUGUCUCCAACUCCUCCAGUCUCUCCUCCUCCUUCCCACUCCGCGGUGGGGACCCGGCGCGCGGCCAGGCCGCGGGUACCGGGGCCGCCGUGGCGGGGGCUCAGGGGUCCCCGGCUCACAGGCUGCGCCGACCCCUGCGGGGGGCGGGCCCGGAGGCCGGGGGUGGGCAGUGGGGGAGGCGCGCGGGCGCCGAGGCCGCGGGACCCGGGGCCGCACUCCCGCCCAGGGCUCGGGCCCGCGUGGCGCGCGCCCACCGCCGGCCGCACGGGGAACUCCAAGCCGAGCGCAGAGUACGCUGCAGGGGCGCCCGGAGGAGCCGGCUCGCUGCCCGCAGGCCGGGGGCGGUUUCGGGAGGCUGGGGGCGCGUUCCAGCACAGAGUACCUCGCGGGCUGCGUGUGCACCACGGGCCGCGGGACCUCGGGCAGCCGCCUAGAGACGUGCAGUCGGGCGGCAGGACACUUAGUAGGACGGAGCAGUGCUCGGCGAGCCUUGAGGAGCUUGAGGCGCCCCCGGACCCCACCUGGUCGCCCCCUUAGUAUCCUGCCCUCUUUAAAGGAAAUGGCUCCUGCCUAGAAGGUCAGAUGGAUUCUUCGCGCUGUGACCCUUUCUCCUUGAAGGACCUACACCUCCUGUGAAGACCAUUUCGGACUUGACCUCCACCUGAGUGCAGACUUUGUUCAGAAGUACACGCAUUGCCUCCAGCCACCCCUACCAUGUUUGAUGGGGGAUUGGUUACUGCCAGAGCAUAUGAGCAUUUUAACCCAAUUUUAUUGCAGUCACCAAAAUUAGUUCGCCUCUGCCAAAAUUAACCCCCCUGCAGACAUAUCAAAAUACUACACUAAGCAGGGGUUUCAGGCUGGGUUUAAGAUAGAUGCAGCUGAUUAAAGGAGUGAACAUUUUCAACUGUCCCCACACACCCCCCAAAAAGUUGUCCAGUUCAUAUUUCCGUAAUGUCAGAGAAAUGAAUCUUUUGAAACCUACGUUUUGUCUAAUUUGUCAGUGACUUUUUAGUUAGUGAAAUGUUGGCUGAAUUCAGUUUCCCUUAAGCCCUCAGCUCUCAGCUAUGGUGGUAAUUGCCGCUAGCCUUUGAUCAGUGCUCAUAUGUGAUGUAAUAAUAACUACCAUUCAUGGAGCGCUUCUGUGCUAAGCGCUUUACAUGGAUUGUCUGAUUGAGUCCUCACAAUAACUGGGAGCUAUUACUUCUCCAUUUUACACAUGACGAAGUUGAGGCUAGAAGGAUUUAGUAAUUUGUCCUCAGACCACAAAGAGAUGGUUUUACAUCCCUAACUAGCUGCAUAGAAAGCUGGGAGCUGAACCAGCAUGCCAUACUGCCACCUACCUACAGCAGCGCUGACAGUUCUUCAGCUCAGCCCGCAAACCAGCCAGCAUCUGCCCUGUGCCCGGCAAUGAGCCCGCUCCAGCUGGGAAUGCCCAGGUCCUGGUCUAACUGAGAAGCUUGUAGCAGGGGAACUUUGAACCUGGCUGCCUGGGUUGAAAAUCACACAGGAUGGAAAGAGAAGUGUUCUGCAGGCAACUUCUGCUCUCAGCCUGGCUGCAGAGCUCUCUCCUUGGGCAAAAGCCACAGCACCUGCUCUCUCCUUAGGGGCCAGGGAGUGAAGACAAAGGGAAAACACAGCAAGAAAGAAAGAAAUGUGUGACCUCAAAGACAAUCCAUCCAGACAUAUUUGUGUGUGGUAUCUACACAUUACAUCGCUGAAAAAUGA
RNAcentral lists this long non-coding RNA (1903 nucleotides) under Homo sapiens (human). RNAcentral's name for it is "HSALNT0393140". Lineage: Eukaryota; Metazoa; Chordata; Mammalia; Primates; Hominidae. The record is from RNAcentral.